This 1292-nucleotide long non-coding RNA is filed under the name Canis lupus familiaris (dog). RNAcentral describes it as "lncRNA (ENSCAFG00030006487.1)". Lineage: Eukaryota; Metazoa; Chordata; Mammalia; Carnivora; Canidae. The record is from RNAcentral.
GCCGAACCGCUCCCUGUCGCCGGCGGGGCGCUCUCUCGCCAGGCCCCGCUGUGUUACAUUUGAUUUUUGUGUGUGUGGUUGUGGUUUUCAUUUCCUAGAGCCUGCGAAAAACUCACUCGCCUAGCGAUGUAGACGAACGCUUGGACCGUGCGCCUCGCCCGACCCGGCCAGAAAGCGAACAAGGAAAACAAAAUACCCAUCGAGGAACUGUUCCAGAAUCGGGAAGUUUUGCUAAAUGUGAUGUAGCCAGCAUCCAGGGAAAAACAAACAAACACAAAAAAACACAAAAAAAAACAAAAAAAAAAAACCAAAAACAAAACAAAUUAUGUCUUUAAAAACUAAAGCCGCACAGGAGGAGAUAAAGACUGAAUCUUUGAAAUACUUUGCAUGGAUAUCCCAUCUUGAGAGUGUCAUGGGGCCCUAAUGCCAACUCGCAGAGCCAGCUGAGGGCAGGUCCCGCAGACCUCACUGCAGAUUCUCUCCUACAGUAAAAACAUGUAGACUUGGCUCUGUAGAAGCCCCUUCUUUACUGAAAGCAGAAGACUGCGUUUCAAGGAAAGGCUCAUAGGAGAACAAGGAGAUGAAUUUAUCUUUUCACAGAAUGUCGUGGAAAUACAAAAUAAGAAAGACCAGCCGCAAAGCCUCUGCCAGCUUUCAAGUGCAAAAGAAGAGUUGAAUUUCCAGGAGACAUCCAAUAGAAGUGGCCCAGAAAACAGACAAGUGAAGAAACACAGCAUGGCAGGACCUAGAAUUGAUAGAGAAGUUGGCCAGAAAUUCCUGGGAAAGAAGACAGGGGUCUAAUAUCCCACGUUAAGUUGAACUGCUGGGAUAUGAGCCCCUCCUUCACCCUAACAUCCAGUGAAACCUUGCUACGGAGAUUGAGCUCACUUCUACAUCAGCAGAGUAAGGUUACUGCAACGAUUUGGGAUCUUUGAAGGAAUAUCUACAAUGUUGUCACACAUUCUAGAAAACCUGCUUUUCAAAGGGGAAAACCCAUAUAACUAUUAGAGACUGAGGACUAGAGAAAAAAAUCAACUUUAAUUUGGCAAUGCUUACGUUCUGGUAUCUGAAUGAGUCAGGAAGAAACAUAAAUUCCCACUUAUUUUUUCUCCUUUCCCCUUUAUUCCCUUUCACUAUUUUUUUAUAUUCCCCAAAUGAAUGAGACCAUAUAAUGUUUGUCCUUCUCCGAUUGACUUAUUUCACUCAGCACAAUACCCUCCAGUUCCAUCCACGUCGAAGCAAAUGGUAUUUGUCGUUUCUAAUGGCUGAGGAAUAAUCCAUUGACCACAUCU